RNAcentral lists this ribosomal RNA (428 nucleotides) under uncultured bacterium. RNAcentral describes it as "bacterial SSU rRNA". It matches the Rfam family "Bacterial small subunit ribosomal RNA", at positions 354 to 797 of the family's 1533-position model. The record is from RNAcentral.
GUGGGGAAUAUUGCACAAUGGGGGAAACCCUGAUGCAGCGACGCCGCGUGAGCGAAGAAGUAUUUCGGUAUGUAAAGCUCUAUCAGCAGGGAAGAAGAAAUGACGGUACCUGACUAAGAAGCACCGGCUAAAUACGUGCCAGCAGCCGCGGUAAUACGUAUGGUGCAAGCGUUAUCCGGAUUUACUGGGUGUAAAGGGAGCGCAGGCGGAAGGCUAAGUCUGAUGUGAAAGCCCGGGGCUCAACCCCGGUACUGCAUUGGAAACUGGUCAUCUAGAGUGUCGGAGGGGUAAGUGGAAUUCCUAGUGUAGCGGUGAAAUGCGUAGAUAUUAGGAGGAACACCAGUGGCGAAGGCGGCUUACUGGACGAUAACUGACGCUGAGGCUCGAAAGCGUGGGGAGCAAACAGGAUUAGAAACCCCAGUAGUCCC